CGCAUCUGUGCAUGCAGCAUAUCAAUAAGCGGAGGAAAAGAAACUAACAAGGAUUCCCUUAGUAACGGCGAGUGAAGCGGGAAGAGCUCAAAUUUGAAAUCUUCAAGGUUUUACCUUGACGAAUUGUAGUUUAAAGAAGUGUUUUCUGUUGAAGUUUUGGUAAAAGUUCUUUGGAAUAGGACAUCAUAGAGGGUGAGAAUCCCGUAUUUGACCAUUAUUUUCAGCUGUGUGAUACACUUUCAAAGAGUCGGAUUGUUUGGGAAUGCAGUCCAAAAUGGGUGGUAAAUUUCAUCUAAAGCUAAAUAUUGGCGAGAGACCGAUAGCGAACAAGUACCGUGAGGGAAAGAUGAAAAGAACUUUGAAAAGAGAGUUAAACAGUACGUGAAAUUGUCAAAAGGGAAGCGUUUGACACCAGUGUUGUUUUCUCGAAAAUCAAUUAAAAAGAGUUUGAUUUUGUUGUGUAUUGACCUUAACAGCUUGCAUUUCAAUUUUCUUGCUUUUUUUAAUGCACUUUUCGUUUAACAAGUCAGCAUCAGUUUCUUUUGUUGUAAAAAGGUCAUUGGAAGGUGGCUUUCUUUUCGGAGAAAGUGUUUAUAGCCUUUGACUCCUGCAAUCGGAGAGACUGAGGUCUGCAGCGUAGAUCCUUCGGGGUUAGAUACAUUUGUGCUAAGUUAUAGCUUUUUAUAGACAACUUGUUGACUAUGAUUAGUCUUGUAGCUUACUCGCUUAUGCUAUUUUACCUACGCUUAGGAUGUUGAACUCUAUCACACACA
Molecule: ribosomal RNA, 773 nt
Filed under: uncultured Neocallimastigales
Lineage: Eukaryota; Fungi; Neocallimastigomycota; Neocallimastigomycetes; Neocallimastigales
Description: partial large subunit ribosomal RNA
Rfam family: Eukaryotic large subunit ribosomal RNA
Source: RNAcentral